This 365-nucleotide unclassified non-coding RNA is filed under the name Hevea brasiliensis (rubber tree). The record is from RNAcentral. Lineage: Eukaryota; Viridiplantae; Streptophyta; Magnoliopsida; Malpighiales; Euphorbiaceae.
UGUUCCCGCCAGAGAAUAGAGUGAGUUGGGUGAUUUGGGGUUCCAUUUCCUCUCUGCUCGUUACCAGUACUUUGACUAAAAUGGCGUCUUCUUCAUCCAAAACCCUAAAGGACCUAUGGAAGCAACCAGCAGCAAAGCGUCUAAAACAGGUGUCUUCUACCGAAAACUUCAUUUCUAGCGCCUUGGCAUCUUCAUCUUCGCGUAAAGACUGUGACGAAGACCCCAAAGACGUAGUGUCCUCAACGCCGGAGCAAAAUUCGAGAAUGGAGUUCAACCGAUCACUCGCAAAGUCCAAACGGAACCUCAAACUAUGUUCUGAUAAAAUCUCCAAAUUAAACGCAAACGGUGAAGGGGGUGGAUACGUG